RNAcentral lists this RNase P RNA (358 nucleotides) under Candidatus Cloacimonetes bacterium HGW-Cloacimonetes-1. RNAcentral describes it as "RNase P RNA component class A". It matches the Rfam family "Bacterial RNase P class A". From Rfam's summary of the family: Ribonuclease P (RNase P) is a ubiquitous endoribonuclease, found in archaea, bacteria and eukarya as well as chloroplasts and mitochondria. Its best characterised activity is the generation of mature 5'-ends of tRNAs by cleaving the 5'-leader elements of precursor-tRNAs. Lineage: Bacteria; Pseudomonadati; Candidatus Cloacimonadota. The record is from RNAcentral.
CGGGAAGAUUAGAUGUCUGCUGUGCAGGUAACUGCAUAGAGGAAAGUCCGGACACCAUAGGGCAGGAUACUUCCUAACGGGAAGCUGUUGCGAGGCAGAGCCAGCUCCACAGAAACAAACCGCCCGUGAUCUCUUUAGUAUUUUGCGGGUAAGGGUGAAAUGGUAGUGUAAGAGACUACCGGUAUCCUUGGUGACAGGGAUAGCCAGGAAAGCCUUAUCCGGUGCAAUGCCAAAUAGGGAAGCUCAGCGCGGCCCGCGCGAUCAUGCUUUCGGGUAGGCAGCUAGAACCGUUUCGUGAGGAACGGUCCAGAGGAAUAGACAUCGUUAUACAAAAUCCGGCUUAUUAUCUUCCCGAGUU